CUCCCAAACCCAUGUGAACAUACCUAUUGUUGCUUCGGCGGGAUCGCCCCAGGCGCCUCGUGUGCCCUGGAUCCGGCGCCCGCCUAGGAACCUUAACUCUUGUUUUAUUUUGGAAUCUUCUGAGUAGUUUUUACAAAUAAAUAAAAACUUUCAACAACGGAUCUCUUGGUUCUGGCAUCGAUGAAGAACGCAGCGAAAUGCGAUAAGUAAUGUGAAUUGCAGAAUUCAGUGAAUCAUCGAAUCUUUGAACGCACAUUGCGCCCGCCAGUAUUCUGGCGGGCAUGCCUGUCUGAGCGUCAUUUCAACCCUCAUGCCCCUAGGGCGUGGUGUUGGGGAUCGGCCAAAGCCCGCGAGGGACGGCCGGCCCCUAAAUCUAGUGGCGGACCCGUCGUGGCCUCCUCUGCGAAGUAGUAAUAUUCCGCAUCGGAGAGCGACGAGCCCCUGCCGUUAAACCCCCAACUUUCUAAGGUUGACCUCAGAUCAGGUAGGAAUACCCGCUGAACUUAAGCAUAUCAAUAAGCGGAGGAA
RNAcentral lists this ribosomal RNA (528 nucleotides) under fungal endophyte. RNAcentral's name for it is "eukaryotic LSU rRNA". The stretch from base 146 to 299 matches the Rfam family "5.8S ribosomal RNA". Lineage: Eukaryota; Fungi. The record is from RNAcentral.